CCUACGGGGUGCAGCAGUGGGGAAUAUUGGGCAAUGGGCGCAAGCCUGACCCAGCAACGCCGCGUGAAGGAAGAAGGCUUUCGGGUUGUAAACUUCUUUUGUCAGGGAAGAGUAGAAGACGGUACCUGACGAAUAAGCCACGGCUAACUACGUGCCAGCAGCCGCGGUAAUACGUAGGUGGCAAGCGUUGUCCGGAUUUACUGGGUGUAAAGGGCGUGUAGCCGGGUUGACAAGUCAGAUGUGAAAUCCUGCGGCUUAACCGCAGAACUGCAUUUGAAACUGUUGAGCUUGAGUACUGGAGAGGCAGACGGAAUUCCUAGUGUAGCGGUGAAAUGCGUAGAUAUUAGGAGGAACACCAGUGGCGAAGGCGGUCUGCUGGACAGCAACUGACGCUGAGGCGCGAAAGCGUGGGGAGCAAACAGGAUUAGAUACCCUUGUAGUC
This 442-nucleotide ribosomal RNA is filed under the name uncultured bacterium. RNAcentral's name for it is "partial 16S ribosomal RNA". It matches the Rfam family "Bacterial small subunit ribosomal RNA", at positions 338 to 795 of the family's 1533-position model. The record is from RNAcentral.